Molecule: RNA transcript, 3405 nt
Organism: Nycticebus coucang (slow loris)
Lineage: Eukaryota; Metazoa; Chordata; Mammalia; Primates; Lorisidae
Gene name: 60S ribosomal protein L37a-like
Exons: 1
Source: RefSeq, a predicted model, not a curated record
CAAUACCACAGAGCUAAUACUACAUAGAAACCUGAAUCUGAAAUAUUUUGUCUCAUAUAGUGUUUUAUUUACUUCUUCUGAUCACAUGUGGUAGGCAGUGAUCUUAUAUUUUUUUAGGACUCUACUGAUUUCAAAGUGCUUUACAUUCUUGAGGAUCAGUUGUUAAUUGCCUCUUAUUUUCUUGAACAGACUGAAGCCCAGAUUAUCUCCCCCUGGCAGUGAGGUAGCAGUAGAGAAGGAACCAGAAGGAUGGGCCUGCUUGGUGCAUACCGCCCUGAUUAGGUCUGCCUGAAUCCCCAGAGCAGUUCAUGUAGAAGCACCUCCCCCAAAGGUGUUUAAAGCCAUAGCAUUGCACACAGUGCAGAUUAGAAGUAAAUAAAUGCAUUACCUCAUGAGAAUGAGGUAAUGUGAAGAGGUGAAGUGAUGUUCAUUAACAUGAUUUAUUUGUGCUUACAAAUCUUUCAUAUGCAUUGUGUAAGAUAAAGAAUAAACAGAUGAAAUGGUUAAUUCCAUGCUACAUGAAUUUCACCAUGAUUCUAAAAACUAGCAGAGUUACCAAAUAUAUCCAUCUUUAGGCAUAAGGAGAGAGGGGUACAAAGAAGGCUAAGGCUUGUCAAAAAUGGAGUGUAGGCUGGCUCAGCCUGUAAUCCCAGUGCCCUGGGAGGCUGAAGUGGCUGGAUUGCUUGAGUUUAAGAGUUUGAAACUAGCAUGAGCAAGAGUGAGACCCCAUUUCUUAAAAAAAAAAAAAAAAAAAAGCUAUGGCGGUGCCUAUGGCUCAAAGGGGUAGGGUGCCAGCUCCCUAUGCCGGAGGUGGUGGGUUCAAACCCACCGCUGGCCAAAAACUGCAAAAAAAAAAAAAAAAUAGCUGGGUGUUGUGGCAGGCACCUGUAGUCCCAGCUACCUACAAAGCUGAGGCAAUAGAGGAUCUCUUGAACCCAGGAGUUUGAGGUUGCUGUGAGCUAUGAUGCUAUGGCACUUUACUGAGGGUGACUUCCUGGGAGAAUGGGGACUGAAGACCCCAUUCUUGGCAAGGGAAAGCUCCCCCAGAAAAAGAAGAAAAUUAAAAAGUAGGUUGAGUGAGUCGGAACAAAGUCAGCUAGUUUACAUUUAAGCUAACUAUUGCUAGCAAGCUUCCUUCCUUUUCUGAAAUUCUAGCCUGUUGGGGAUACAGCUUAUAAACACCUCCCCCCCCCCCAUCUGUGAGCACUCUGAGGAAAAAUGGUCAUAGAAGAGGCUAUGGCAAAGACUUAGAAAGAUACAUUAACUGGGUGGUCUCCUGCCUAGUAAAGAGGCAAAGCGGAUACCCAUUGUGGAGAUUUGCGUUUGCCUGGGGCAGAGAUCAAGGGAAUAGCUGGAGCCCUGAGAUAUGGGCAAAAGAGCUUAUAUUCCUUAUGGUGGUGAUGGGAGGAAAAUUCCUCCCUCCCACCAGUUCCUCAGAGGAGUUUAAUGCCAUCCUAGAAAUCUGUGUGUGUGAUCUCCAGCGGGAGCCUCUCCCAAUAUAAGGCUCAGAUUUCUCAAGGCUAGUCAAACCCUUAAAUAAUAACAAUAGGAGCUGAUACACUCACUUAGAAACUGCUGGUAUCUUUGUUCCCUCCCUCAUCUUACCCUCUGGGCAAAUAGACUUUGAUAAAAGCAGAGUGAAACAAAGGGGCAGUGGCUCCCUGAGCUCCCACUGUUAAUUCUACUCUAUGUCUCAUGUCUGUUCCUUUGCCUUGUUUCUAACUUUAUUGCAGUUUGGCUGGGGCCGGGUUUGAACCUACCACCCACUGAGCCACAGGCACUGCCCUAAAUGAGACUGUCUUAAAAAAAAAAAGGACUCUAAGCUUGUCUGAUAAGGGAAAAUGGUAGUUUGUCAUCUAGAGUUCUGGGUGACAAUUUGUCUGUUUUCAUGACAGAUAUAAGACCUUUACAGAUUGUGAGCUGUGUUGGAGCUCAGAAAACAGUACCCCAAAAUGAAGGCCUCAGAAACAAAGGUUUUUCUCUGAAGUCUCUUGUUCGCCAGCCCCUCAGUCCCAUUCUUCCUUGAGAUUAACCACAGAAACUAGGAUUGCUCUUACCUCAGGGCAGGUUGUAAAAGCCAGAACCUUUUUCCCUACUGCCAGCCAUAAAACCCCAAAUUAUUCCUUAUAAAAACUAGCCGUAAAAAGUUAUCUGACCUACCUUGUUUCACUGUGGGUCGUGAGACUUCCAGAGAGGGCCCUGCCCAACACCCAAAGAAGGAGGCUGCUCAGAGAGGUCAAAAAGGAUCAUUUGUGAUUUCUGGAAAUGGAUCGUGGUGAUGGUUGCACAACAAUGCAAAUCUGUCUAGAUUCUAGAUAGACAGGCCUAGCUGGACUUCCCCACUCAGUCUGUUAGCAUUAGAGCAUACCCUUUUUGUCCAGUCAUAUUUCUUUUUUUUUUUAAUUUAUUUAAUUUUUUUUUUUGAGACAGAGUCUUGCCAUGGUGUCACAGCUCACAGCAACCUCCAAAUCCUUGGACUUAGGUGAUUCUCUUGCCUCAGCCUCCCGAGUAGCUGGGACUACAGGCGCCCGCCAAGACGCCCGGCUAUUUUUUUGUUGCAGUUUGGCUGGGGCUGGGUUGAACCUACCACCCUUGGUAUAUGGGGCCAGCAUCUUACCCACUGAACCACAGGCACCACCCUUUGUCCUGUCAUAUUUCUACAAGGCUGUCCAUGCGUUAUUGAACCGGAACAUAAAAUGAACAAUUUCCGGCUUGGUGCUAUAGCUCAGUGGCUAGGGCACCAGCCACAUACACUGGGGCUGAUGGGUUUGAACCCAGCUGGGGCCUGCUAAACAACAAUGACAACUACAACUACAAAAUUGUGGCGGGUGCCUAUAUUCCCAGCUACUUGGGAGGCUGAGGCAAGACAAUUGCCUAAGCCCAAGAGCUGGAGGUUGCUUUGAGCUGUGACGCGACAGCACUCUACCAAGGGCGACACAGUGAGACUCUGUCUCUAAAACAACAACAAAAAAUAGCCGGGUGUUGACUUCCGCCCCGCCAACUGAUACAGCGCCUGCGCCCUGCGUUUCUUCCUUUCUGGGCUUGGGCCUGGUUCGUGGAGACAUGGCUAAACGCACCAAGAAGGUUGGGAUUGUACGGAACCCACUAUGGUGCCUCCCUCCGGAAAAUGGUGAAGAAGAGAGAAAUCAGCCAGCACGCCAAGUGCUGCUCCUUCUGUGGCAAAACCAAGAUGAAGAGACGAGCUGUGGGGAUCUGGCACUGUGGUUCCUGCAUGAAAACAGUAGCUGGUGGUGCCUGGACCUACAACACCACUUCUGCUGUUACAGUAAAGUCUGUGAUUAGAAGACUGAAGGAACUGAAAGACCAAUAGAAGCUCUAACCUUUUCAGACAACACAAGCUACUAAUAAAUGGGUUAAUUUAUGUAAAAAAAAAAAAAAAAAAUA